This 253-nucleotide ribosomal RNA is filed under the name uncultured prokaryote. Its description in RNAcentral is "partial 16S ribosomal RNA". It matches the Rfam family "Bacterial small subunit ribosomal RNA", at positions 524 to 776 of the family's 1533-position model. The record is from RNAcentral.
UACGAAGGGGGCUAGCGUUGUUCGGAAUUACUGGGCGUAAAGCGCACGUAGGCGGGUUAUUAAGUCAGGGGUGAAAUCCCGGAGCUCAACUCCGGAACUGCCUUUGAUACUGGUAAUCUAGAGAUCGGAAGGGGUUAGUGGAAUUCCCAGUGUAGAGGUGAAAUUCGUAGAUAUUGGGAAGAACACCGGUGGCGAAGGCGGCUAUCUGGCCCGUAAUUGACGCUGAGGCGCGAAAGCGUGGGGAGCAAACAGG